Molecule: ribosomal RNA, 256 nt
Filed under: uncultured bacterium
Lineage: Bacteria
Description: partial 16S ribosomal RNA
Rfam family: Bacterial small subunit ribosomal RNA
Source: RNAcentral
UACAGAGGUGGCAAGCGUUGUCCGGAAUCAUUGGGCGUAAAGGGCGCGUAGGUGGCCCGGUCAGUCUUUGGUGAAAGCGCGGGGCUCAACCCUGCGUCGGCCAGGGAUACUGCCGCGGCUCGAGCACUGUAGAGGCAGGCGGAAUUCCGGGUGUAGCGGUGGAAUGCGUAGAGAUCCGGAAGAACACCGGUGGCGAAGGCGGCCUGCUGGGCAGUUUAGCUGACACUGAGGCGCGACAGCGUGGGGAGCAAACAGG